Molecule: ribosomal RNA, 253 nt
Filed under: uncultured bacterium
Lineage: Bacteria
Description: partial 16S ribosomal RNA
Rfam family: Bacterial small subunit ribosomal RNA
Source: RNAcentral
UACAGAGGUCCCAAGCGUUAGGCGGAAUCACUGGGCUUAAAGCGUGUGUAGGCGGAUUUGUAAGUACCUUGUGAAAUCCCACGGCUCAACCGUGGAACUGCUUGGUAUACUGCUUAUCUUGGGCCAUCUAGGGGCGAGCGGAACAAACGGUGGAGCGGUGAAAUGCGUAGAUAUCGUUUGGAACGCCAAUGGUGAAAACAGCUCGCUGGGGAUGUGCCGACGCUGAGACACGAAAGCCAGGGGAGCGAACGGG